AUUUUUUUUUUUAAUUUCCGCAAAUAAAAUUCAAUAUAAAAAUGCGUCUGUCAAUAAUUAUUUUAAUAGUUAUUUCAAAUUAAUAUAAAUUUAUAAAUCAUAUUUAUCAAAAAAUUUAUAAUAAAAAUUUAAUUUUAAAAAAGUAAAUUUAUCUAUUAUAUUUUAUUUAGAAAUAUCUGUCAUAUCAUAAUUCAAAUUCAAAUAGUUGCUUUCCACAAAAAUUAUAUAGUUCUAUUUUUUUACUUUUUAUA
Molecule: long non-coding RNA, 251 nt
Filed under: Ananas comosus (pineapple)
Lineage: Eukaryota; Viridiplantae; Streptophyta; Magnoliopsida; Poales; Bromeliaceae
Description: long non-coding RNA (ACOM_LNC002226)
Source: RNAcentral